UUGCCGAAGGGGCAACCCGGUAAACCGGCGCAGUGGGUUGAGUAACACGUAGGUAAUCUACCCCCAGGUAGUGGAUAACCUUCCGAAAGGAGGGCUAAUACGAGCAUAAGACCACGGGCUCGAAAGGGCUUGAGGUCAAAGCCGGCCUCUUCAUGAAAGCUGGCGCCAGGGGAUGAGCCUGCGGCCCAUCAGCUAGUUGGUAGGGUAAUGGCCUACCAAGGCGUAGACGGGUAGCUGGUCUGAGAGGAUGAUCAGCCACACUGGAACUGAGACACGGUCCAGACUCCUACGGGAGGCAGCAGUGGGGAAUCUUGCGCAAUGGGCGAAAGCCUGACGCAAGCGACGCCGGUGAGUGAUGAAAGGCCUUCCGGGUUGUAAAGCUCUUUCGGCAGGGAACGAUAAUGGACGGUCACCUGCAGGAAAGAAGCUUGCGGUUAAAUUACUGUGCCCAGCAAGGCCGGCGGUAAUUAAGUACGGCAGCAAGCGUUCGUCCAGGAGUUACUGGGCGUAAAGAGUGUGUAGGGGGGGUCCUCUAAGUCCGGGUGACAUCCCUCCCGGGUUCAACUUGGAGGGUGCGCCGAAAA
RNAcentral lists this ribosomal RNA (584 nucleotides) under uncultured bacterium. Its description in RNAcentral is "bacterial SSU rRNA". It matches the Rfam family "Bacterial small subunit ribosomal RNA", at positions 68 to 632 of the family's 1533-position model. The record is from RNAcentral.